GUUUUCUAAGCGUUUACUGGACUGUGUUGCUUUCGGAAGCAGGAAAACAAAGGCUGGCUCCUCCCCUUCCAAAUGAGUCACUCGCUCUCGGGUGAUAAUAAAGAUUUGUCAUUCUUCAUGAUGCGGACACAUCCGUCUCCAGGGUAUCUGCAAGAGGUCCGGGACAUUUCUCUCGCUUCACUCCACUUCUCACAGACUGCGGUUUCUAACACCGUAUCACCUUGGGGGGCAGACCCAAAGAUGCUGGAGCGACCUAAACAAACGCGCACCAGCAGACUGCAGAGAAUCGAAAUCGUUUCUCUCUGGCUGGGAGGAGUAACAGUUCGAAAAACGGCCCAGUUGACUGGAACCUGUACUGGAACCGUCAACAGAUGGAUUCGCCGCUGGAUCGAGGAACGGCAGAUCCAGGAGAAAAUGAAUCGUCUGAUUUGGUUACACGCCCAACAUGAAAACUUCCAGGCGUGAUUCAUUAUAUCCGAGAAGCUUGGCAACACUACCAGUAUCACCAACACCUCUUCUGACAAUGACAGAAGUUAUUGGUCUUCGCAAUUACAGGAUAAGGAGUGAUUUAUUGAACAAAUAGCCAGUGAACUGUCCACAUCCGAUACAAUUAAUCGGUCAUCCUCUCUCUCAAUACCCGGAACACUAAACAAUGAUGGAUUUACCAUAAAUUUGAAUUUGAGAAAGAUCGUUAUCACUAACCCAAAAAUGGAGUCAAAACAGAUUCCUUAAAACAAUUCAAGAUUUGACGUAUUGUGUACUGUCUAAUGAUUCAGUGUACGAGACUAAUGAAAAAUAAAAAAAAUGUCUAAA
This is a long non-coding RNA of Macrobrachium nipponense, 813 nucleotides long. RefSeq lists it as uncharacterized. The transcript is spliced from 2 exons. The record is from RefSeq and is a predicted model, not a curated record. Lineage: Eukaryota; Metazoa; Arthropoda; Malacostraca; Decapoda; Palaemonidae.